This 256-nucleotide ribosomal RNA is filed under the name uncultured bacterium. RNAcentral's name for it is "partial 16S ribosomal RNA". It matches the Rfam family "Bacterial small subunit ribosomal RNA", at positions 793 to 1055 of the family's 1533-position model. The record is from RNAcentral.
GUCCACGCCGUAAACGAUGGAUACUAGCUGUUGGGCGCAAGUUCAGUGGCUAAGCGAAAGUGAUAAGUAUCCCACCUGGGGAGUACGUUCGCAAGAAUGAAACUCAAAGGAAUUGACGGGGGCCCCGCACAAGCGGUGGAGCAUGUGGUUUAAUUCGAUGAUACGCGAGGAACCUUACCAAGGCUUAAAUGUAGUUUGACCGAUUAGGAAACUAGUCUUUCGCAAGACAAAUUACAAGGUGCUGCAUGGUUGUCGU